AUGUGCCGGGUGUUUGCACAUUUGAUGGGGCACACAGUGUCUGUGGCCUCGCUGCUUGUGCUGGCACUUGAUUUUCUUUAUCAGCUUUUCAUCACUCACGGAGUGGACAGGCACAGAAGGCACUUAAGGUAUAUUCCGGGCGCGGGUGACUCAGGCGCUGGAGGGGCUGCCCCAGUUUCCUCUCUGGUGGGCCCACUGCUGAGAAGCUGCGCCUGCUCGUCAGUUUCCUUUCAGGUCAGUUUCUCUCGCAGCCCACACCCUGAUACCAAAAGAUGGUGGCAGGGAGCUCGGGGACUGGCGCGGGCUGUGCCCCUCGGACCCCUGAGAGGCUGCGGGUUAGCGGGGAGCGGGGAGGGAGAUGCCAGCCCCACCCCCUGCCCGGCAGUCGUCACCCGGGACAAGGCACUGUACAGGCCCCUGGGGGUCUCUCCAGGGAGCGCCCCGCCUCUGGCGCUGUGGAGACCCCCUGCCCUGCGGCUUCCUGGAGGACGUCUGUGGGCCACAGAGCAGGCCAGGGAGGCGGGGGGCGGGUGUUGAAGGUCAGGGGCGGUGAGGGGGUGGACAGUCAGAGCGGGGGGCGGAGGCUGGAUCAGGAGGAAGAGCUCCGUGUCCUCACCCGGGG
Molecule: long non-coding RNA, 622 nt
Filed under: Dasypus novemcinctus (nine-banded armadillo)
Lineage: Eukaryota; Metazoa; Chordata; Mammalia; Cingulata; Dasypodidae
Description: lncRNA (ENSDNOG00000052368.1)
Source: RNAcentral